GUGAGGAAUAUUGCGCAAUGGAGGCAACUCUGACGCAGCCAUGCCGCGUGCAGGAAGAAGGCGCUACGCGUUGUAAACUGCUUUUAACCGGGAAGAAACCCCAGGACGUGUCCUGGGUUGACGGUACCGGAGGAAUAAGCACCGGCUAACUUCGUGCCAGCAGCCGCGGUAAUACGAAGGGUGCAAGCGUUAUCCGGAUUCAUUGGGUUUAAAGGGUGCGUAGGCGGAGCGUUAAGUCAGUGGUGAAAUCCUGCAGCUUAACUGUAGACUUGCCAUUGAUACUGGCGCUCUUGAGUGCGCUGGAAGUGGGCGGAAUGUGCCGUGUAGCGGUGAAAUGCUUAGAUAUGGCACAGAACACCAAUUGCGAAGGCAGCUCACUAAGGCGAUACUGACGCUGAGGCACGAAAGCGUGGGGAUCGAACAGGAUUAGAAACCCUUGUAGUCC
RNAcentral lists this ribosomal RNA (445 nucleotides) under uncultured bacterium. Its description in RNAcentral is "partial 16S ribosomal RNA". It matches the Rfam family "Bacterial small subunit ribosomal RNA", at positions 354 to 796 of the family's 1533-position model. The record is from RNAcentral.